Molecule: ribosomal RNA, 486 nt
Filed under: uncultured bacterium
Lineage: Bacteria
Description: partial 16S ribosomal RNA
Rfam family: Bacterial small subunit ribosomal RNA
Source: RNAcentral
AUGAACGCUAGCGAUAGGCUUAACACAUGCAAGUCGAGGGGCAGCACAAGGUAGCUUGCUAUCUGGGUGGCGACCGGCGCACGGGUGCGUAACGCGUAUGCAACUUGCCCUAUACAGGAGGAUAACCCGUCGAAAGACGGACUAAUACUGCGUAUGCUCACAACUUGGCAUCAAGUGGUGAGGAAAGAAAUUCGGUAUAGGAUAGGCAUGCGUCCCAUUAGCUUGUUGGUGAGGUAACGGCUCACCAAGGCAACGAUGGGUAGGGGAACUGAGAGGUUUAUCCCCCACACUGGUACUGAGACACGGACCAGACUCCUACGGGAGGCAGCAGUGAGGAAUAUUGGUCAAUGGGCGCGAGCCUGAACCAGCCAAGUCGCGUGAAGGAUGACUGUCUUAUGGAUUGUAAACUUCUUUUAUACGGGAAUAACAAGAGUCACGUGUGACUCCCUGCAUGUACCGUAUGAAUAAGCAUCGGCUAACUCCUUG